GUGGGGAAUAUUGGACAAUGGGCGAAAGCCUGAUCCAGCCAUGCCGCGUGUGUGAAGAAGGUCUUCGGAUUGUAAAGCACUUUAAGUUGGGAGGAAGGGCAGUAAGUUAAUACCUUGCUGUUUUGACGUUACCGACAGAAUAAGCACCGGCUAACUUCGUGCCAGCAGCCGCGGUAAUACGAAGGGUGCAAGCGUUAAUCGGAAUUACUGGGCGUAAAGCGCGCGUAGGUGGUUUUGUAAGUUGGCGGUGAAAUCCCCGUGCUCAACCUGGGAACUGCCUCCAAAACUGCAUGACUAGAGUACGGUAGAGGGUAGUGGAAUUUCCUGUGUAGCGGUGAAAUGCGUAGAUAUAGGAAGGAACACCAGUGGCGAAGGCGACUACCUGGACUGAUACUGACACUGAGGUGCGAAAGCGUGGGGAGCAAACAGGAUUAGAAACCCGUGUAGUCC
Molecule: ribosomal RNA, 450 nt
Filed under: uncultured bacterium
Lineage: Bacteria
Description: partial 16S ribosomal RNA
Rfam family: Bacterial small subunit ribosomal RNA
Source: RNAcentral